This 1711-nucleotide long non-coding RNA is filed under the name Rattus norvegicus (Norway rat). RNAcentral describes it as "long non-coding RNA NONRATT023982". The record is from RNAcentral. Lineage: Eukaryota; Metazoa; Chordata; Mammalia; Rodentia; Muridae.
UAAUCUCUUUGGUUGAUUCUUAUAAGCUUAGGCCGGACAGUGGGCAGGGCUAGGUUUACUAAUAAUUCUUUUCUUUGAGCAAAGAUUGUCAACGAGCGUUUAAAGGUAAGGAGAAAAGUUUUGAGCACAGGCAGUGCUUUUUUCUCUAACCAAUAUUAACAAACAAUGUAGGAGAAAUAUGUUAGGUCUUCUUGUCUUCUGUGAGGAGGGUGGCAAUUUAUUGCAGUACUCUAAGAGAUUUCUUCCCAAAGAAAGUUUGACAUCUGUCCCAUGAAAACACAGAGAGUAGAGCAGACCAGAGCAGAGCAGAGCAGCACAGACAGAGGAAGCAGCAUCGACUGUAGUCACACGUCAGCCUGAGGCCCUGCCUCAGCUCUUAUCCAUCACGGGAAACUGUUUCUUACACUCCACCUGGAUUGUUUGCGUAUAGACGUUUCUCAGUGAUCCUUAAGUGCCCAGACAUCAUCUCAUCACACGCAGGGACAGGAUGGAAGUGGUAAUUACUAAGAUGGGCAGGGGUAAACGCCUGGUCUGUGUCACUUGUAGGUCAGUGAGGCGAGGCCUUAUUAGAGGUUCAGGUGUGCAGAUGUUUGCUUUGGUUUUCAGUUCAAAGACUGAAGGAGGCAGUGAUGUUUUUCUGAAGGAAAUUGAUUAGGUAUUAUAUACCAUCAUAUGACUGUAUAAACCAGUGGUUCUCAGCCCCCUAAUACUUUAGCACUUUAAUAUAGUUCCUCAUGUUGUGGUGACCCCCAGCCAUACAAUUUUUGUUGCUCCUUCAUAACUGUAAUUUCGUUACUAUUAGGAAUUGUAAUGGAAAUAUUUGGGGUGGGUGGAAGGUUGCCAAAGGGGCUGUGAGUCACAGGUGGAGAACAUUGGAAUAAACUAAGCCACUGUAUUACCUCGGACCGUGUCUUUUAAAAGACCUCUGGUGUUUAACAUCUCCUUUGGAGUUUGUGUUUGGACAUUUUGUCAAGGUCAAAGUUUUGUCUCUUAAAACCAGUCUUACUGCCUUGCUCUCCUUUGAUAUUUUCUAAUAGAAGAUUAAAGAAUCAUUAUCACAUCACUGCUUUAAAAAUAAUAUGCUUUAAACUUUUGAAUCAAUACUAUUUUCCCACCUUGAUUUUAAUAAUUACAGUGUCUUUUGCAAUGCUUUCUGUCAGUGUUGAUUGUGGGACUUUAGGGGUGCCAUUAUUGUAGAGGAGCUUCAUGGGAGCAGCUCGGCUGUGUGAAGUUAUUUUGCGUGUAGUAUAGGGAGAUGAGAGCCACCAAUCACGGCCCCUUGUCAGGGAAGACUUGUGCUGUGUGCAGCAGGCCUUGUCUAAAAUUCUUUGCAUUUCUCUUUUCCUUUGCUUCAGAGGAGUCCCAGGAAGGUGUUUUCCAAACUGUUUGAAGUCACUAGACGUCGAAUGGUUCAUCAUGCUCUUUCAUCAGCACAGCGACAGAGACUGUCAUCCAACAAUAACAAGAAGAAAAAUUAGACAGUAUUUUUAACUUUUUCUCUAUCUGAAGUGUUCACACUUAUACACAUAGGACAAUAAGCAGGACCGUGUGGGCCGGUCUGCAUAAUGCUGUGUACAUACCAGAUUUGAUGCUGCACAUAGGGUAUGGAUUGCACAUCCGUCUCAUAGGAUUUGUGAGUGGUUUGAAUAAGAGGAAAGUAAUUUUUGUUGCAUUAUAAAAUGUCUUAAUUGCAUUGUUUGUAACAUCAUAA